AACGAACGCUGGCGGCAGGCUUAACACAUGCAAGUCGAACGGAUGGGUGUAGCAAUACAUUUCAUCAGUGGCAGACGGGUGAGUAACACGUGGGAACCUUCCUCGUUGUACGGGACAACUCAGGGAAACUUGAGCUAAUACCGUAUAAGUCCGAGAGGAGAAAGAUUUAUCGCAAUGAGACGGGCCCGCGUCGGAUUAGCUAGUU
Molecule: ribosomal RNA, 205 nt
Filed under: uncultured bacterium
Lineage: Bacteria
Description: partial 16S ribosomal RNA
Rfam family: Bacterial small subunit ribosomal RNA
Source: RNAcentral